This 497-nucleotide ribosomal RNA is filed under the name uncultured bacterium. RNAcentral describes it as "partial 16S ribosomal RNA". It matches the Rfam family "Bacterial small subunit ribosomal RNA", at positions 28 to 507 of the family's 1533-position model. The record is from RNAcentral.
GAUGAACGCUGGCGGCGUGCCUAAUACAUGCAAGUCGAGCGAACAGACGAGGAGCUUGCUCCUCUGACGUUAGCGGCGGACGGGUGAGUAACACGUGGAUAACCUACCUAUAAGACUGGGAUAACUUCGGGAAACCGGAGCUAAUACCGGAUAAUAUCUUGAACCGCAUGGUUCAAUAGUGAAAGACGGUUUUGCUGUCACUUAUAGAUGGAUCCGCGCCGCAUUAGCUAGUUGGUAAGGUAACGGCUUACCAAGGCAACGAUGCGUAGCCGACCUGAGAGAGUGAUCGGCCACACUGGAACUGAGACAGGGACCAGACUCCUACGGGAGGCAGCAGUAGGGAAUCUUACGCAAUGGGCGAAAGCCUGACGGAGCAACGCGGCGUGAGUGAUGAAGGUCUUCGGAUCGUAAAACUCUGUUAUUAGGGAAGAACAAAUGUGUAAGUAACUAUGCACGUAUUGACGGUACCUAAUCAGAAAGCAACGGCUAACUACGUG